This is a long non-coding RNA of Nicotiana tabacum (common tobacco), 827 nucleotides long. RefSeq lists it as uncharacterized. NCBI's taxonomy places the organism in Eukaryota, Viridiplantae, Streptophyta, Magnoliopsida, Solanales, Solanaceae. The record is from RefSeq and is a predicted model, not a curated record.
ACGUUUACGUUAUUACAUAGGUGGGUUUUAUUGGAUUUCUGUACAUCACAAUUGACAAGCUUCAGAUAUCUUCGUCUUCCUCAUCUCUUCAAUUUAUGCAGGAACGAGAUUCGAGUUUUUGCACCAUCUACAUAAAGGCUUCAGCUAUUGGGUUUUAGUUCAGGAUUAUGAAAGGAGGAUUACUGUUUGCUGUACUGUCUAUGUGUGGUGUAUUCGUGUGUACUUGCACUCUUUUUACUGGCAGGAGUUCUUUGGAGCAUGCUAAAUUUGAGCUUAUGGUAUAAUGAAGCACAAACAAAGAUGCAUGACAAUGUUUAGAAAAUUCAGGUAUGUUUUGGCUGAUCGGAGGCUGAGUCAUCAGAGUUUAGCAAGAUUCAGGUAUGUUUUGGCUUAUCGGAGGAAGAGUCAUCAGAGUUUAGCAAGGUAGCUGCCGGCGUUCGCAGUACUGCUUUUCUCUAUCCUCAUUUCAUUAGUCUGUAUUUGUACACUCCAGGCUUUCAGUUGUAUUUAUGCCCUAGUAGAUGCUCGUGACUUGUGACACCCCAGUUAGGGUUGUGUCGGGCUGGAUUUCCGCAUUUCUUAUUCAUACUUUCUGCUAUUUGGUACUAUUAAACCAUGUUUAUACUAUAUUUGUGUUAAAUUACUGUUUUAAAGGACGAGUUGGGUUAGACUGGCUGGCCUUGUCUUCACGAGAUGUGCCAUCACGACCAGGGUCGGGAUUUGGGUCGUGACAGUAAUGUUGCCUCUGCCUCUUCACUAAGACUGUUACUGCUUCUUGUUAUUAGCAAAUCAUCAACAUAUAUCAAAACAACCACAAUGUUUUUGUU